Molecule: long non-coding RNA, 907 nt
Filed under: Marmota monax (woodchuck)
Lineage: Eukaryota; Metazoa; Chordata; Mammalia; Rodentia; Sciuridae
Source: RNAcentral
AUUGGAUGUCACUGAUCUAACGUGUGACCUUAGGAAAUCAGUUGGUUUUUGUCCCAAGAUCUUACAUUUUCAUGGUCAAAAAGAAUGGGGCUUGUCAAACACCGAGAGCCAAACGUCUGGGAUUCUGGGACUCCGCUUUGCAGUUACUAUUAUGAUUCAGCCAAUUGGAAAUAACUCAAAAUUUCUAAUUUCCUUGCUCAGAGUUGCCAGUUCAGCUAGGAAAGGUCAGAAAUCAUCAACUCCUCCAAGUGUCCAUGCUCCUGGAAGGCCACGUACUAAGUGCUCAAGUGCCUGUGCUGGUUAGGAAGAAAGGGAACAGAGGCGCCAUCACUCAUGGUCAGCAGUGACCUGACAACCGGGGCCUGCACGUCCCUUCAAAUACCAACACACUCGUCACCAAGGCCAAGGCAGCCAAGGGACUCAGCCGAGUUCACUGGGACCUGCUGGUCUGAGUAGCCCCUGGCAAACACAGGGAAGGAUGGGACCUUUCGUUUUGGACCUUAAGGCAGCCACAUGCUGCGUGGUCGUCUCCCUGUGGACGCUUGAUAUUUAGGCAGCUCCUCACACCCCUCGCCACCCUUCGGCUCAGCACCCCUGGCUUCUGGUCUUGACCCCUCCCCAGCUCCCAGGAGCCUCUGCUCCUUCCCACUCCAAUCUCCCCGUCCAGCUUCGCCUUGGUCUGGUCAUGGUAUCUUUGAUUGACAGAUAUUUUUUUAAUUACUUAAAGGGUUCUAGUUUUUCUUUUAUGGCUAAUUUUUCAUCCCCACUUGCUGCAAUAAUCUGAGGAAGGGAUCCAACUUAUGUUCCAUACGGAAGCCAAAUUUCCCAGCACGUUAGUAAUCAAUCCUUUCCUUAGAGUUAGUCAACUUUCUCUGCUGAGUGAAACGUGACCUUAGACAUCUUUGCU